This is a long non-coding RNA of Phyllostomus hastatus (greater spear-nosed bat), 3404 nucleotides long. RefSeq lists it as uncharacterized. The transcript has 3 exons. The record is from RefSeq and is a predicted model, not a curated record. NCBI's taxonomy places the organism in Eukaryota, Metazoa, Chordata, Mammalia, Chiroptera, Phyllostomidae.
UCGGAGGGAGAACGUGUUCGUGCCUCUCUCCCAGCUGCUGAUCGCUGCCAGUGUUGGCAUUGCUUCGUGCGUAGCUGCAUCCCUCCCGUCUCUGUCUCCACCUUCACCUGGGCUCCUGUGUCUCCAUGGUUGUGAAGAUCAGGCGCUUUGGGCCUGGGUGAGUGGAGCCACUGCUUGGCCCUCCAUAGCAGCGCCCCGGAAGACACCAACAGUGGCACCUGGGGGACAGCCUUGUACCCUCCCAGCUGCAGGGCUCCAAGAACCAGCUUUUUGCCAAACCCUGCAGAGGCGACGGCAGGCUUGUGGCCGAGCCAAGUGCACCGUCUGGACGAACCUCCUGUCUGGGUCCAACCAGAAGCCGUGGCCCCGUGACUUCAGUCUCCUCUAGAGCUCACGUACUCCACCCUCCCAGCCCACGCUGAACAAAACUCAGCAGUGCAGCCAACACCAAGUGCCCUACACCGAAGUUCAAGACCCCAGGGGAUGAUGACAGCUCAGUGCUCCAAGUGGCCCGGUCUCAGGGACUGUGGCCCCAGUCAGGCCUGAGGACUCCAACCACCUUGAUGAAUGGUAGAGGCAACACAGAUGUCCGAGAGGUCCCCUUCUCAGGUGGUGAGGGGAAGGCUCAAAUGUGGGAGGCGAGUCACCAUAAAAACCCAUAAUAAUAAUAAUGCCAGGCAUGGACCCAUGUCUGUGCCAAGCCAAACAUACAGCAGGGUGGGGCAGGGCUAUUAUUACAGUUCACAGAUCUCUCAGGACGUGUAUGAGGCUGGUGGUCCGUGUCCUAAGUGGGCAGUAUGGUCAAUUCUAUUACAUCUGGGACCAUUCCAGGCCUUGGUGGUUUGAAAGAAAAACUGACUGUACAGAAUAACAGCGCCAUGCCCGACGUCCCCAGAUACAAUUUUCUUCGAUGACUCUGUAAAUCCACCCACUUUAUAGAUGGCUGUGGGCCCACAUGCUAUUCUUCGGCUGUGGCCCAGCCGUGCUUCCCUCAGCCAGUCCUGCACUCGGUCCGUGUGGCCGUUCAUUUCUCUUAAAGGUGAUGGUGGGGUGGUGGGUGCAGGCGUCUCUGCUUGUGGAAAAGCCUCCAGCUCAAACUUUCUCAACCCUGGCUGAAUGUUAGAAUCAUCCAGAGCGUUCUACAAGCCAGAGCUGCCUAAGGUUACCUCCCAAAUUCGGAUUCAAAGGGUCCAAGAUUGGGCAUAGGAAGCAGUAUUUGAAAACUAACCCCCUGCAAGUAUUGAAAGGGGGCUGGCAAUGGGGAGAACUCGGCUGUUCUAACUCGGGCCUCAGAGUCACCUGUGGGGGGGUGGGUAGAGAUGAGCAUCCCCACCCCCCGGCCAGCCGCUGACUCAGGAGGUCUGGGUGGGACCCGGAAAUCCAUGUCUUUCCGAAGCAGCUUCCUGUGCGGGUGGCAGGGAGCGGCGCUCAGGAAACACCGCUGGACCGGGGUGCCUCCCCCCAGCCUGGGGAGGGGGACGCAGUCUGAUACCACCUUCCUUGCUCUCACCCUAGCCUUCUCUUCCCCACCUGCCCCUCCCCACUUACCCUCAGCCACAAGCCUGAGGAGGAAGAGUGUUUCCAAGUGAGGUCCCCGACAGCGGCACCAGCAGCACCUGGGAACUCAUUAGAAAAGCCAGUUCUUGGGCCUCACCCCAGACCCACCAGGUCGGAAACCGGGGAUGGGAGGCAGCGACCUGGUUCAACAAGCCCUGUGGCAUGUCCUGAGCCGGCUCCAACGGGAGCACGCCUCACCGAGAAGAAGGAGAUGAAGACCAAGACCUGGGAUUUUCGGAAGAUCCAUCGCCCACUCCUAGCUGUAAGAUCUUGAACAAGAUGCUUCCCGCCUCUGACCCCAUUUCUGUAAAAGGACACUGAUUCUUGAUCUGUGUGUAGCCCUUGGGAACUGGGGCACCUCCUUUGCCAAUUAGACUUCAGGUUUAAGAAGCUCAAAUCCAGGGACUUAGAGCAAGUUUUGUCAUCACUCCCUGAGUUCAGAUGAGAAAACUGAGACUCAAGAAGCAGUUAGGGGGCCUGUUCAGGUCUACAGAGCUGAUGAUGGGUGGUCUUGGCCCACCAGGUCUGGGACACUCUCUCCCACCUUGUGGGGUCAACCUGGGUCAUUCUGAAGUCCAUCGCCAGCUUUGCAGGCCCCCCUCCACCCCAGCUACACCUCGCCACUCCCAAGGCUGUGAGGACAGGUGGGGGAGACCCUCCAAAGCCAGCGGCUAAAGGCAACGUCACUUGGAGCCCCUGAAUUGCACCUGGGGUGUGGCGGGACAGGGCAGGUAUCGCCGUCCAUGGUUUUCACCAUCAAAUGACAGCAAUGGACCAAACGUGGGUGGGGGCCUUGGGGGGGGUGACCCGUGGGAUGGGGCCUCGGGCACUGCUUCUAGAGAGCACAGUGACCUUUGGUUAACAACACAGGCUUCACGUUCCCCUGUGGGGACACUGGCGAAGAGUCACAAAAUUUAACUGGAUGUUGAAACCUUGAAAUGAAUACCAAACUAAUCCAAGAUGAACAAAAUAUCAAAUCUCAAGACAGAAGCUAAUACUGAACUUGCACAAUACAGCCUCACUUGCCACACCCUAAUCUUGGUGCUUGUUCUGAUAAAACUUUAUUCACAAUAACAGACUCACAGCAGGUAGUGGUUUUCCAGGGGUUUUUUUAAUAUUAUACUAAAAUAUUAACUUAUCUUGAUUACCAAGAGUUUUGGAGCUCUCUUAAAAUCUGCACCCAGUCCUGCCGCCGCCCCACCUGCCCAAGUCCCGAGGUGCUGGGCGUCCCAGCAGCGCCCAGGAGUCCUGCCGCCCCGGGCAGCUUCCCUUCCUCCCCUCACUCGGGAGCCUGCGUAUUUGCAGUGAACAUUCCCGAGCACAUUGCUGCUGAUGGGGCAGAGCCUUUGCCAGGGGUAUUCGCAUCAAAGUCUUUUCAACUUUAAUGGUGUAUGACAUUUUUGAGACAAAAUAUGGUUCGGCUAAUCAUAUUUUAAUAGCUCUACCUUUAUAAAUGGCCUGACUUGGAGUGUAUACAGUAAUAUUUUAAUUUCUUAGCUCUGAUGAGCAUCGUUCUAACCAGGUAUUCAGUUUCCCCAUUUAUAAAUUUCGCUCCCAGAUGUUGGAUGCCAGGGAAGUCUACAGAGCAACUAUACAAACACGAUAUUUAAUAUUGGAUGUCAGUUUGGGUGUUCCACUCAAUUUCCUGGAAAGAGCUCGAAACUCCUCUUAUUUGGGGCGGAAUGUCCAAUCAGUUUCAUACUCCGAGACCCUGCCCGGAUGGCCAUGUAAUACCGCAUAACUAAGUUCUCUAAUUUCUGAAAUGCAAAUUUGGAGCAGAUGUAGGGAAAGUGUGUCAUUUAUUUCCAAAUGCAACAGUUAUCAAGCCAAGCAACCAGGAGGCAUAG